GGGGGUGAAAGGCUUCGACAGGGGUUCUUUCUACAAUCGACGCUGAGAGUGGAUGGUUGUUAACCACUAUAAUUUCUCGACCAAACUUGUAACUGGCAAUCAAAAUACCAAUUACGCUUUCGCCUAACUUCGAUUAGGUAAGCCAUUCUACCGCGAUGCUCGCUAGCGGAUUUUAGAGUGUCAUUAGCGAACUUUAGCAGAACCGUUGUCCUUCCGAAUUCUGCCGAAAAAUUGUAAGGACUAGCGUGCGUUUAUUUUGUUCAUUUUUUAACCGCUCGCGAAAUACCAAAUGAAAUAUUUCAGUACACGUCAUUGCAGUAAACCUUUGGACGGCGGUUCAAGUCCGCCCAUCUCCACAU
RNAcentral lists this transfer-messenger RNA (359 nucleotides) under Minisyncoccia. RNAcentral describes it as "2-01-FULL-41-26 sp001794125 X1 Standard tmRNA". It matches the Rfam family "transfer-messenger RNA". From Rfam's summary of the family: Bacterial tmRNA, also known as 10Sa RNA or SsrA, is named for its dual tRNA and mRNA-like properties. Its role is to liberate the mRNA from a stalled ribosome. To accomplish this part of the tmRNA is used as a reading frame that ends in a translation stop signal. The record is from RNAcentral. Lineage: Bacteria; Bacillati; Minisyncoccota.